Gymnodraco acuticeps is the source of this 3279-nucleotide long non-coding RNA. RefSeq lists it as uncharacterized. The transcript has 3 exons. The record is from RefSeq and is a predicted model, not a curated record. NCBI's taxonomy places the organism in Eukaryota, Metazoa, Chordata, Actinopteri, Perciformes, Bathydraconidae.
GUUCAGUCCUUCGCAGGGCGGUGGAUCACAUACACAACAUUAAAGCAUUCGACUUUGAAAGCUGGUUUUAAGGAGCCUUUCAAGCUGAGAGGGGUAGCAGCUUGGCCUGUCAGGGAUUAUGUUGGGAACCGGAGGGCUAAACCAUCUUCUUGAGUGACGCCAUUCAUCAUAAACUGCCCUUCGCAUUGAAUUUGAGGAUCUGGUCAGGCAAUCUUUUGUGGAAUGUGAAGAAGACUUCAACGUGACAACAUUUUGGAUUGGAUUUUAGGAUUGUUCCCGCUUUAGAUCAAUCUAGACUGACCCAGUCACUUUCCUUAAACAUUUUCCACUACUACUGAACUUUGACAAGAGGAAGUUCUCAGACUGUCUUCGUGGUGUGAGGUCAGCAACAACACAUCUGUCCAAACUGUGGACGUGUCUGUAAGCGAUCAGCAGUGAUGGAGUCUGUGGCAGCCCGGAUGGCCAUGGACACCGACUCGCCCAACCUGUCCCUGAGGUCCAGGACUACCGUGACCACGGACGGAGAUUCUUAUGUGAGCACUUCCAGCCUUCCCUGCAGCCACUUCCUGUCCGCCAAUGUCAUCAAUGUUGGAGGACAGCCGCAGUGAUGCAACUAAACACGUCCUGAAGAUCCUGGUUGUCCAUGGUGCCAAUGGAGAGGAUCCAGUGGAUGCAGCCCUCCUGCUUGAAGGCAAAGAGAUGAUGCCAGGAUGCAGCAGUACUGCCAAGGCAUGCACGCUGCUUAUGGGGCUGAUUUAUGCCUUAAACCUGGCAUACCCCCCCAACACUGCGCUACACUUUGGAGCUGUUCCAGAAACUUUUUCUCGGACUGGAUGGGAUUAAGUUGACCCCGAAAGUACAAGCUUUAAAGUUGAAACUGCUGUCUUAAAGACAUGGCAACAAACUUUAUUUUUGUGAUCAACAUUUUGUAUUAAAGCAAAAGACACUGUGUCGCGGAGGUUAAUGUAACGUUAGUUUAAUAUGCCCGUGAAAUGCAAAAACUUUUCGGUUUCACCGGUAGGAUUUCUACGCACUUGGUGAUGCUGACUCAUAUGACUCAAAGGACUCGUAUGAUCCGGAUCUCUUCAAUUACUGACUCAGAAGACCGUAAAAGGAUCCGGAUUAGCCAUCUCUAGUUUUUAGGUAUACAAUGUUCAGGCUAUGAAUGAUAUAUGAACAAACCCUUCUGUAAAAACCUUCAGAAUAUUGAUAGGAAUAUAACUGGAAGGUUUGGUGUAUGUAAGUGCUACUGAAGUGGACAUCUCUCAUUCAGAAUAGGAGAAAAAAACUAAUUUUGAGAAAACAACCUUUAAAGAUUGCUGUGUGGCUCAAACUAAACUCUCUUGUUCUUUGGACAAUAGCUUGCACAUCGACGCACUCCGUGACGGUAUUUCAUAGUCAGGGUCAUUUGUUUUUUGUCUAACCUUGCUUCGUGCAAGUGACAAUUGUUGUCAUCUUCUCUGUGAAUGUUUUUUUCGCUGUUCUUUUGCCAUUUUGAGAUUUUAAUUUCCAGCGGAAAGCUAACCAGGAAGUGUUUUAGCACAUCACGUGACGCAUCUGAACGAAUCACGAUGUGGCGGCUUCCGUCUAACUUCAGCGUGGUGCUGUUUAACAGACAUGUCAAUUAUUGUAGCGAACACAAAUAACUGUAAGUACAGAAAGAUAUUGGAAACACAGAAUUUGUCUUCACGUAAAUUUAACGCGCUACAGAAGGAGACACCAACAGUUAAACUUCUAAUAAAGUCGCUAUUAUCCCACUAGUCUCCCUGGAUUACCACUCUCCUUCUUUAGGCUGCAGUGAAACAGACCGCAUCACAGACUGGCACACAGGCGGUUUACACAGAGCAGCAUCCAUGGCAGUGAAUGUGACAUACCCUUUUUUAGGAAUCUGGUGCCGCUAUAUAGUGUACACAGGAAAUAAAAGCCCACGUGCAAUUGUGCAUCACACACAGUCGGAUGCAUGUGAGUGAAGUGAAUUGACUUGACUCCCACAGUAAAGGAAAACUCAGUUUGUCGCCACACUGCUUAUACCGAGCAGCAUUUGAAAAUGUAGCGCAAACACCACCCACCGAAGUGAAAAAAACCACUUCUGAACUACUAAUGCCCCACUGCCACAUUUUGUAUUCAAAACAGUGAAUUUCGCCAGCUGUUGACUAAUUUGAAGCAACUACUAAACCACUAAGUAUUACAUGUUGUGUGUGCCUCGUCCAUGAAAGCACGCUAAAUUAGCUAGCACGCUAACUAAACUGAAACACUGACGUUAGUUAACGUUCGUUUGAUAUCCACAUUAAGCUGACAAACUAACAGGGAUGUACAGAGUUAAUAAAGUACAAAAAUAUACUUACAUGAUUCAAAAUCCACGAGUAUUCAUAUUAGACGAGGGUCCAUGCUCUCUUCAACUGGAACCGGCUGCUUUUUUUCAAAUGCCUGCACUGUGCGCAAACUCCUCUGACGUCAUAGAGGGCGUCGCCCACCUUUACUCACAUUGCCCAGGUAUAUUUGACUAGCUUUUCACAGGUUGUAGGUCAACACAUUACUUUAGUUAACAUUUACUUGGUGCUAUGAUAUAAAUGUAGGCCUACUUGUCAAAAUGAAGAUACAAAAAUACUUGCAAAUUCAAGUAAAAAAAAGGAGUGAUUUUGAGUGAAAGAGAAUUAUCAGUGUACUAUCCCAUCAUUCAAGGGUGGUUUUCACUAUUAGUAUAGGGUUUUUUUUGGACGGAAACUAUAAUUUACAUUUUUUUUACUAUGUUCAACCUGAAUUUACUUUAAAAUAAAAACAUCUAUAUUGAUUCUGACUUUUCUACAGCCAACUCACAGGUGUAUCAUUGCUUUGAGAGAAAAGAUUAUUAAUUUCCCCCUUUUAGAAGUGAAGAUAUAGUCAUUUGUUCUGGGAAUGUCAUUUUCGAUCCUGAGACCUGAAAAACAGGUUAAAUGUUUUUAUUUAUUUUCUCCCUGUUUCAGCAAUGUGCUAUGCAAGACAGACAUUGUCUGAUGGCAGUUAGGGUAUAAGGGACAAUCCAGGGGACGUUACUUCCUCUUGAUACCGUCGGUUAUUUACAAAAAAAACACCUAAAUAUAGCCUAUUUGUUAUUGAGCUUCUGUCUUUCUCUGUAUUUUCAUCUGCAAACUCCCUCAACAUCCCUCAACAUCGCUCUCUUUUCUAGAUCGCCCUCUCACGGGUGAACACUGUCCCGCUUCAUUGUAGGAUUUCUGCCAUGUCUAGCACUUUAGUUUGACCAUCUCUGUUAUUAAGUUAUGGAAUAUUAAAUAAAUAAGU